GUCCAGAUGUGGCCUCUAUCCUC
Molecule: non-coding RNA, 23 nt
Filed under: Mus musculus (house mouse)
Lineage: Eukaryota; Metazoa; Chordata; Mammalia; Rodentia; Muridae
Source: RNAcentral